AUUGAACGCUGGCGGCAUGCCUUACACAUGCAAGUCGAACGGCAGCACGGGAGCAAUCCUGGUGGCGAGUGGCGAACGGGUGAGUAAAGUAUCGGAACGUGCCCAGUCGUGGGGGAUAACGUAGCGAAAGUUACGCUAAUACCGCAUACGAUCUAUGGAUGAAAGCGGGGGAUCGCAAGACCUCGCGCGAUUGGAGCGGCCGAUAUCAGAUUAGGUAGUUGGUGGGGUAAAGGCUCACCAAGCCGACGAUCUGUAGCUGGUCUGAGAGGACGACCGGCCACACUGGGACUGAGACACGGCCCAGACUCCUACGGGAGGCAGCAGUGGGGAAUUUUGGACAAUGGGCGAAAGCCUGAUCCAGCCAUGCCGCGUGCAGGAUGAAGGCCUUCGGGUUGUAAACUGCUUUUGUACGGAACGAAAGGGUUUGGCCUAAUAAGCUGAGCUCAUGACGGUACCGUAAGAAUAUGCACCGGCUAACUACGUGCCAGCCGCCGCCGUAA
Molecule: ribosomal RNA, 500 nt
Filed under: uncultured bacterium
Lineage: Bacteria
Description: partial 16S ribosomal RNA
Rfam family: Bacterial small subunit ribosomal RNA
Source: RNAcentral